This 250-nucleotide ribosomal RNA is filed under the name uncultured bacterium. RNAcentral describes it as "partial 16S ribosomal RNA". It matches the Rfam family "Bacterial small subunit ribosomal RNA", at positions 524 to 773 of the family's 1533-position model. The record is from RNAcentral.
UACAGAGAGUGCAAACGUUGUUCGGAAUCACUGGGCUUAAAGCGCGCGUAGGCGGCACUGUAAGUGUCGGGUGAAAUCCCACGGCUCACCCGUGGAAUUGCCCGGCAGACUGCAGUGCUAGAGUGUGGUAGGGGAGAGCGGAACUCCUGGUGGAGCGGUGAAAUGCGUAGAUAUCAGGAGGAACACCGGUGGCGAAGGCGGCUCUCUGGUCCAUGACUGACGCUGAGGUGCGAAAGCUAGGGUAGCGAAC